UUGGAUUUUAUUAUUGUUAUUGUCUCACAGAACAAGACUAGCCAUAGGUAGGCAGUUGCAGGGUGGGGUCAGAAGCUCAUUGAUGUCAUUGAAGACACUGCUUUUCAUCUUUCUGUCCUGUCAUCUUCAAAGUGCCGCUAUAUUUCCCACCUAGGUCACAGGGUGGCUGCAGCAUAGGCAAGCUUUACAAUUGCAUGUGAAAAUACCUGGAAGAAAGAAAAAAAGAGAUAGGGAGGAAGACACCUUAUUUUCUCUCUUCAUGUAAGGGGAAAAAAUUGUUUCUCAGAAACCCCCCAGUAAACUUCCCUUUAUGUUUUAUCAGACACAACUGGAUUCAAAAGCCAUCUUGAACUGCAAGAGGGACUGGGAAAAGUGAAGCUAUCAUCUCUGUCCCUAUCUUGGAAUUGGGCACUUCCAACAGGCAAGAAGGAUGAGCAAAACACUUGUUGGGUUGGCUGUUGUAAAAAUAAGCCACUAUUUUCAUGCUUCUAAACACUUUAUGUGUAUUAGUCCACUAGAUCCUCAUAACAAACUCUUGGGGUAAGUAUGAUUCAUAAUCAUUUACAGAUAAGCAAACUGAACUGCAGAAGUGUUAACAUAGUGAGGAAGUGAAGGAGCCAAGAUUCCAACUCCACCAUCCGGCCGCAGAGGCUGCACAAGGCGCGGUUCUCAGCCAGCAGCGUCUGCCACAGCAGGCUGCCUCUAAAAUCAUAACACGUAAAAGUUCUAAGUGAUGUUUGUCUGUCUCAGAAGUGCAAAUGUGACAUUUGCCCCUGGCUGCAGUCAUGGUGUGGGUGAAAAGAGCAGAGGGGCAUCCAAGAGUGACAAGAAUUGCUUUCUGUCAUCAUCAAGGCUGCGUCAGCUCACGCUGUGGUCAGAUCCCUCUUGUACUGGUCCCAGAAGAGAAAGACUAUGACAUUAUUGCUCCUCAGGAAGAGGUGAAGCCCUCUCACCCCCAAUAUGCAUCAAUGUCAGAAUCAGGAAGCAGAUGAGAGGUACACAGCCCCCUGAGAAGCAGUGCUUGACACAGGCUACUGUAAUAGGUGUCCACCCAUCUGAAUCCUACUGCCCAGCACUCAGCUCAGAUGGAACAAGAGGCUGCCAGACGAGAGGCUGGGAGUUGCAGAAGCACCUGUUACAGCAGAAGUCAUUUGGCAAGCCAAACAAAAUGCGGAUUCAUCCAGGCCACCUGUAAAGGAAUUUAAUGCCUAACAACCUAUGCAAAGCUUCUAAUUGUCAUAAUUAAUUUGGCAUCUAUUCACUGCUGGCACCAGUUUGAUCGCUCCCAUUUCAUAGAUCUUUACAAUGUCACACUGUUGCUCCAGCUUAUUUAGAAAUCCUGGAAAGAGGGGAAGUGGAGAUUGCAGGGCAGCCUCAGCCCUCAGAAAAGUUUCUCUGCUUUCUCAUGUGUCCCAGCUGACAGGAUGCCAGGCCAGCAAGCUAAUGACCAACAGCUGAGCGCCAUGGCAAAGAACGAUAUAAAGACAAUCAUCUGGCUUCUGCUACUUUACAAACAAAAGGCAAGAGAUAGCAUACUGGAGAGAAAACAAAAUAAAAACUUUUAAUAAUGAUAGUGUCCCAUGUAUCAAUCUCCCAUUGUAUUUCCACAUUGCACAGUUAAUAUCAGAGGCCACCUCCACUGACUCAGACUUCCAUAAACAAGACACUUUGGACACAAAGGAGUUUCUCGUUCUGUUUCUGUAUCUGUCGCCUCUAAAAAAUACAGUGAUCCAAAGUUCAUCACUAAAAGAUGUGGGGAAAAAGUGGUGAUCAAAACUUUGCAAUACAAUAAUGGACCUUUUUAAAUCUAAAAAUGUGAAAAUCAAUGCAUCAAUUUUCAUACUUUCUCUUUUAAAUUUUCUUUCUUUUGAUC
RNAcentral lists this long non-coding RNA (1873 nucleotides) under Homo sapiens (human). RNAcentral describes it as "HSALNT0349265". The record is from RNAcentral. Lineage: Eukaryota; Metazoa; Chordata; Mammalia; Primates; Hominidae.